GGAUUAGAUACCCUGGUAGUCCAUGCCGUAAACGGUGGGCGCUAGGUGUAGGGGGCUUCCACGUCUUCUGUGCCGUAGCUAACGCAUUAAGCGCCCCGCCUGGGGAGUACGGCCGCAAGGCUAAAACUCAAAGGAAUUGACGGGGGCCCGCACAAGCGGCGGAGCAUGUGGAUUAAUUCGAUGCAACGCGAAGAACCUUACCUGGGCUUGACAUACACUAGAUUGCUGCAGAGAUGUAGUGUCCCUUGUGGUUGGUGUACAGGUGGUGCAUGGUUGUCGUCAGCUCGUGUCG
RNAcentral lists this ribosomal RNA (292 nucleotides) under uncultured bacterium. RNAcentral describes it as "partial 16S ribosomal RNA". It matches the Rfam family "Bacterial small subunit ribosomal RNA", at positions 775 to 1067 of the family's 1533-position model. The record is from RNAcentral.